AGUGAACGCUGGCGGUAGGCCUAACACAUGCAAGUCGAACGGCAGCACAGUAAGAGCUUGCUCUUACGGGUGGCGAGUGGCGGACGGGUGAGGAAUACAUCGGACUCUACUUUUUCGUGGGGGAUAACGUAGGGAAACUUACGCUAAUACCGCAUACGACCUACGGGUGAAAGCAUGGGAUCUUCGGACCUUGCGCGAUUGAAUGAGCCGAUGUCGGAUUAGCUAGUUGGCGGGGUAAAGGCCCACCAAGGCGACGAUCCGUAGCUGGUCUGAGAGGAUGAUCAGCCACACUGGAACGGAGACACGGUCCAGACUCCUACGGGAGGCAGCAGUGGGGAAUAUUGGACAAUGGGCGGAAGCCUGAUCCAGCCAUACCGCGUGGGUGAAGAAGGCCUUCGGGUUGUAAAGCCCUUUUGUUGGGAAAGAAAAGCAGCAGGUUAAUACCCCGCUGUUCUGACGGUACCCAAAGAAUAAGCACCGGCUAACUUCGUG
Molecule: ribosomal RNA, 492 nt
Filed under: uncultured bacterium
Lineage: Bacteria
Description: partial 16S ribosomal RNA
Rfam family: Bacterial small subunit ribosomal RNA
Source: RNAcentral